RNAcentral lists this microRNA precursor (81 nucleotides) under Cavia porcellus (domestic guinea pig). Its description in RNAcentral is "mir-3154 microRNA precursor family". It matches the Rfam family "mir-3154 microRNA precursor family". Lineage: Eukaryota; Metazoa; Chordata; Mammalia; Rodentia; Caviidae. The record is from Rfam by way of RNAcentral.
AGGCCCCUCCUCCCCGCCCAGCUCCCGCUCACCCCUGCCACGUCAAAGGAGGCAGAAGGGGAGUCGCAGAGAGAGGGACCG